RNAcentral lists this long non-coding RNA (586 nucleotides) under Ananas comosus (pineapple). Its description in RNAcentral is "long non-coding RNA (ACOM_LNC036002)". The record is from RNAcentral. Lineage: Eukaryota; Viridiplantae; Streptophyta; Magnoliopsida; Poales; Bromeliaceae.
UUACUUUAUUUGGAUAUAUCGGCCUUGUAAUAUCGAAUAUAGUAUUUGUGGUUUUCAGGUGGAUUUAUGAAAAUGAUUUUCUACCUCUCGUGGUAACCUAUUUUUAAAAGAAAAAGAUUUUCAUGUGGAAAACAGUUUUAAAAAGGAUUUUUUGCUUUUCAUGAUUCUAUUAUUUAAAAAUGAGUUUCUGGGUGGGAAACGUUUUAAAUUAAUAGAUACGAAUUUACGAAUGAAACAUUGUAAUCUUGUGAUGUGACAAAUGUUCGGGAAAACCACAACGAAAAUUCGAUUGUGAGUAAAAUCUAACUAGUCUUGUGAUGAAAAUAAAUAAAUCAACUUACAGAUAAUUGCUAAAUUCCAAAUAAAAACAUUAAUUUGCUCCGGAAGCGUGCGAGGCACUGCCCUAAGGCGUAUUUUCGUCCUUCAUGCGGGAUUAAAUGGAAACACUGUCCCAAGGUACAACCGGGAUUCCUCUUCCGACGGACACGAAUGCAGAAGAGAUUGACGAAGAUUCUUUCAACACCCGAUGAUAAAAAGAUCAAACAAAAUAAAAUAAAAUAAAAAUUUAAAUAAAAUUUCUCCUUUU